Molecule: ribosomal RNA, 497 nt
Filed under: uncultured bacterium
Lineage: Bacteria
Description: partial 16S ribosomal RNA
Rfam family: Bacterial small subunit ribosomal RNA
Source: RNAcentral
GAUGAACGCUGGCGGCGUGCCUAAUACAUGCAAGUCUAGCGAACAGACGAGGAGCUUGCUCCUCUGACUUUAGCGGCGGACGGGUUAGUAACACGUGGAUAACCUACCUAUAAGACUUGGAUAACUUCUGGACACCGGCGCUAAUACCGGAUAAUAUAUUGAACCGCAUGGUUCAAUAGUGAAAGACGGUUUUGCUGUCACUUAUAGAUUGAUCCGCCCCGCAUUGGCUAGUUGGUAAGGUAACGGCUUACCAAGGCGACGAUGCGUAGCCGACCUGAGAGGGUGAACGGCCACAGUGGAAGUGAAGAACGGUCCAGACUACUACGGGAGGCAGCAGUAGUGAAUGGGCCGCAAUGGGCGAAAGACUGACGGAGCAAAGGCGCGUGAGUGAUGAAGGUGUUAGAUGAGGAAAACGCUGUUAUUAGGGAAGAACGAAUGUGUAAGUAAAGAAGCACGUGGUUACGGGACCAAAUCAGAAAGCUAAGGGUAACUACGUG